Long non-coding RNA from Oreochromis niloticus (Nile tilapia), 565 nucleotides. RefSeq lists it as uncharacterized. The transcript is spliced from 3 exons. NCBI's taxonomy places the organism in Eukaryota, Metazoa, Chordata, Actinopteri, Cichliformes, Cichlidae. The record is from RefSeq and is a predicted model, not a curated record.
GGUUGUGUCUUUGUUAUGCAGUUUCUGAUUAAAGGAUGUAUAAUGUGGGAAACGUGUUGGCAAGCUGAGAUCGGGACAACGCUCCUGUCUCCAGCCGUCGUUGCAUGAGCUCCUGCACACACAACCUGAAGCAUUCACCGAGGAGGCACUGCAGGGAGGCCUUUCUCCCUCCCCCCGAGCCUGAGCUGAACAACGGGAUUGGACAGCAGAGCUGCCAAUCCAAACACAAACCGGGCAAGACGUGUCCUCAGACGACCUCUUCCUCUGAGGAGGCAAGGAAGAGUUAUAAUUGCUCUACAUAAGCACAAAUACACGGCAUUGUGAUUUAAUUAACGGCUCAACCCCGACUGCCGACACAGCAUCUCGCGGCGCUUUGAUGCCUCAUCCCACCAAAGAGCUUGAAAUGUCCUGCGAAUUCACACUGCUAACACAGGUUUUAAGCUCAAGCCAGUGACAUCUCGUCUAAACGUGGGAUGAUGCCAUACCUUCCACAGCUCUUUUGAAGAAGACCUUGCAGCUUCCACAUGUUACGACGCCGUAGUGACAACCCGAUGCCUCAUCUCCA